RNAcentral lists this unclassified non-coding RNA (859 nucleotides) under Hevea brasiliensis (rubber tree). The record is from RNAcentral. Lineage: Eukaryota; Viridiplantae; Streptophyta; Magnoliopsida; Malpighiales; Euphorbiaceae.
CCGACGGCUCCUUCUCAAACUCUCUUUCCGUCGACGCCUCUCUUCUCCGCCGAUCAUUUCUCUGGCCCUAAUUCUGACGAUUUCAUGGCGAAUCCGAUUCAGGCUCCUCUGAUCCAUCUCCUCUUGGCUUUGCUCCUCGUCUCGUCAACGAUCGCAACCUCCGAUGUUCCAUUCAUUGUCGCGCACAAGAAGGCGUCGCUCACUCGCCUCAAAACCGGUGUCGAACGUGUCUCGGUCUCAAUCGACAUUUACAAUCAGGGAUCUUCGACCGCAUAUGAUGUAAGUCUGAACGACGCAAGCUGGCCAGGAGAUAUGUUUGAUAUCGUGAGUGGUGAGACUGCCAAAUCGUGGGAAAGACUUGAUGCUGGUGCUCAUAUAUCUCAUUCAUUUGAAUUAGAAGCAAAAACAAAAGGAAUGUUUCAUGGUUCACCUGCUGUUAUCACAUUCCGUGUCCCUACGAAGUCUGCUUUGCAGGAGGCCUUAUCGACCCCAAUUCUACCUUUGGAUGUCCUCGCUGACAGGCCACCGGAGAAGAAGUUUGAGUGGGUUAAGAGGCUGCUUGCAAAGUAUGGGUCUCUGAUCUCGGUGAUCUCCAUCGUCGUUCUCUUCAUAUAUCUUGUGGCUAGCCCAUCGAAAUCUGCUGCAAAGGGAAGCAAGAAGAAGCGUUAAUUGAAGAAUGGGAAGAAGAAAUAGGUUUAACUGUGUUUACCAAAAUUGAGGAUGAUAUGUUGUUUGGCUGAUGAUAUAUUUUGUUGGGUUAGGAAAGGUACAGAAACUUUUUUGAGUUGAUAGUUUUUCUUCACCCCUAAUGAAAGUAGAGCCGCCGGAAACAAACAGAGUUAAGUCACCAGUAGUUGAG